GGGUCGAUGCCCAAGCGGUUAACGGGUACGAAUUGUAAAUUCGUUGGCAAUAUGUCUACAUUGGUUCAAAUCUAGCUCGGCCCA
RNAcentral lists this transfer RNA (84 nucleotides) under Gossypium hirsutum (cotton). It matches the Rfam family "tRNA". From Rfam's summary of the family: Transfer RNA (tRNA) molecules are approximately 80 nucleotides in length. Their secondary structure includes four short double-helical elements and three loops (D, anti-codon, and T loops). Further hydrogen bonds mediate the characteristic L-shaped molecular structure. tRNAs have two regions of fundamental functional importance: the anti-codon, which is responsible for specific mRNA codon recognition, and the 3' end, to which the tRNAs corresponding amino acid is attached (by aminoacyl-tRNA synthetases). tRNAs cope with the degeneracy of the genetic code in two manners: having more than one tRNA (with a specific anti-codon) for a particular amino acid; and 'wobble' base-pairing, i.e. permitting non-standard base-pairing at the 3rd anti-codon position. The record is from Rfam by way of RNAcentral. Lineage: Eukaryota; Viridiplantae; Streptophyta; Magnoliopsida; Malvales; Malvaceae.